Molecule: non-coding RNA, 113 nt
Organism: Acanthosepion pharaonis
Lineage: Eukaryota; Metazoa; Mollusca; Cephalopoda; Sepiida; Sepiidae
Source: the annotation of a GenBank genome assembly
UUACGGUCAUAUCACGUUGAAACGCCGCUUCCCGAACGAUCACCAAAGUUAAGCAACGUCGAUCCUGCCCAGUACCUAGAUGGGUGACCGUUUGUGAAUACAGGUGCUGUAAG